UGAUAGCCCUGAUGGGAGCAAGUAUCCUUUUUUGGCUGGGGUUCAGCCAAAAAGAUACUGCGUACAGCGGGACGAUUU
Molecule: small RNA, 78 nt
Filed under: Flavobacterium degerlachei
Lineage: Bacteria; Pseudomonadati; Bacteroidota; Flavobacteriia; Flavobacteriales; Flavobacteriaceae
Description: Flavo-1 RNA
Rfam family: Flavo-1 RNA
Source: RNAcentral